This 478-nucleotide ribosomal RNA is filed under the name uncultured bacterium. Its description in RNAcentral is "partial 16S ribosomal RNA". It matches the Rfam family "Bacterial small subunit ribosomal RNA", at positions 29 to 507 of the family's 1533-position model. The record is from RNAcentral.
AUGAACGCUGGCGGCGUGCUUAACCCCUGCCAGUCGAGCGAGAAGUUUUGAAAAGAUUCUUCGGAUGAAAUUUAAAAUGGAAAGCGGCGGACGGGUGAGUAACGCGUAGGCAACCUGCCCCAUACAAAGGGAUAGCAUUUGGAAACGAAUAUUAAUACCUUAUGAAACUUAACUAGUGCAUGCUAGGUAGGUCAGAGAUUUAUCGGUAUGGGAUGGGCCUGCGUCUGAUUAGCUAGUUGGUGAGGUAACGGCUCACCAAGGCGACGAUCAGUAGCCGACCUGAGAGGGUGAACGGCCACAUUGGAACUGAGACACGGUCCAAACUCCUACGGGAGACAGCAGUGGGGAAUAUUGCACAAUGGGGGAAACCCUGAUGCAGGAACGCCGCGUGAACGAUGAAGGCCUUUGGGUCGUAAAGUUCUGUUCUAGGUGAUGAAAACUGACAGUAACCUAGGAGAAAGCCCCGGCUAACUCCGUG